Molecule: ribosomal RNA, 431 nt
Filed under: uncultured bacterium
Lineage: Bacteria
Description: partial 16S ribosomal RNA
Rfam family: Bacterial small subunit ribosomal RNA
Source: RNAcentral
AGCGAACGCUGGCGGCAGGCCUAACACAUGCGAGUCGAGCGCCCUUUCGGGGGAGCGGCGGACGGGUGAGUAACGCGUGGGAAUAUGCCCUUCUCUACGGAAUAGCCUCGGGAAACUGAGAGUAAUACCGUAUACGCCCUGUGGGGGAAAGAUUUAUCGGGGAAGGAUUAGCCCGCGUUGGAUUAGGUAGUUGGUGGGGUAAUGGCCUACCAAGCCGACGAUCCAUAGCUGGUUUGAGAGGAUGAUCAGCCACACUGGGACUGAGACACGGCCCAGACUCCUACGGGAGGCAGCAGUGGGGAAUCUUAGACAAUGGGGGCAACCCUGAUCUAGCCAUGCCGCGUGAGUGAUGAAGGCCUUAGGGUUGUAAAGCUCUUUCAGCUGGGAAGAUAAUGACGGUACCAGCAGAAGAAGCCCCGGCUAACUCCGUG